CAAAUGCUAUGCUGCAAAUGAAUAUGGUAAAGCUGUCUGCACAACAACAUUAAAUGUGAUUGAGGCUUCCAAAAACCCAUCAGACUUCAGAAAACUGCUGCGGAAAAGUAAAGUAGAUGAAAAAGGAGACGGGGAAAAUGAUGAAAGAUUCUGGGACGCGAUGCUGAACGCUGACAGAAAGGACUACGAGCGCAUCUGUUCUGAGUUUGGUGUUUCAAACUUACAUUUGAUUCUCAAGAAACUGGAAGAGAAGAAGAAGGAGAGGGCGCAAAAUAAGUGUAUGGUACGGCUGGCUCUCAAAGAAGAUGCAUUAUCUCCAGCUAAAUCAUCUCUG
This is a long non-coding RNA of Epinephelus fuscoguttatus (brown-marbled grouper), 334 nucleotides long. RefSeq lists it as uncharacterized. The record is from RefSeq and is a predicted model, not a curated record. The transcript is spliced from 3 exons. NCBI's taxonomy places the organism in Eukaryota, Metazoa, Chordata, Actinopteri, Perciformes, Serranidae.